CCUGAUUUCCGUAUCCAACGUUUGACCGUCUGUCUUAUUUAAAAAAUUAUGAAAAAAAUUAAAAAGACAAGUCACGCACAAAAUAUUAAUCAAUGUUUUAUCAUCUAACAAUAAUAAAAAUACGAAUUAUAAAAAAAAUUUCAUAUAAGACGGACAGUUAAAGUUGGACACGGAAACCUAGGGUUUGCCUUUUU
RNAcentral lists this microRNA precursor (194 nucleotides) under Oryza glumipatula. RNAcentral describes it as "MIR812 microRNA precursor family". It matches the Rfam family "MIR812 microRNA precursor family". The record is from Rfam by way of RNAcentral. Lineage: Eukaryota; Viridiplantae; Streptophyta; Magnoliopsida; Poales; Poaceae.